This 506-nucleotide ribosomal RNA is filed under the name uncultured bacterium. RNAcentral describes it as "partial 16S ribosomal RNA". It matches the Rfam family "Bacterial small subunit ribosomal RNA", at positions 355 to 875 of the family's 1533-position model. The record is from RNAcentral.
UGGGGAAUAUUGCACAAUGGGCGAAAGCCUGAUGCAGCAACGCCGCGUGAGUGAUGAAGGUCUUCGGAUUGUAAAGCUCUGUCUUUUGGGACGAUAAUGACGGUACCAAAGGAGGAAGCCACGGCUAACUACGUGCCAGCAGCCGCGGUAAUACGUAGGUGGCGAGCGUUGUCCGGAUUUACUGGGCGUAAAGGGUGCGUAGGCGGAUGUUUAAGUGAGAUGUGAAAUACCCGGGCUUAACUUGGGUGCUGCAUUUCAAACUGGAUAUCUAGAGUGCAGGAGAGGAGAAUGGAAUUCCUAGUGUAGCGGUGAAAUGCGUAGAGAUUAGGAAGAACACCAGUGGCGAAGGCGAUUCUCUGGACUGUAACUGACGCUGAGGCACGAAAGCGUGGGUAGCAAACAGGAUUAGAUACCCUGGUAGUCCACGCCGUAAACGAUGAGUACUAGGUGUAGGAGGUAUCGACCCCUUCUGUGCCGCAGUAAAACACAUUAAAGUACUCCGCCUG